This 497-nucleotide ribosomal RNA is filed under the name uncultured bacterium. RNAcentral describes it as "partial 16S ribosomal RNA". It matches the Rfam family "Bacterial small subunit ribosomal RNA", at positions 28 to 507 of the family's 1533-position model. The record is from RNAcentral.
GAUGAACGCUGGCGGCGUGCCUAAUACAUGCAAGUCGAGCGAACAGACGCGGUACUUUCUCUUCUGACGUUAUCGGUGAACGGUUGGUUCAUAUGUCGAUACCCUACCUAUCAGACUGGGAUAACUUCUGGUACCCGGUGCUAAUACCGGCUAAUAUAUUUAACCACAUGUUUCAGUAGUGCAUGCCUGUUUUGCUGUCACUUAUAGAUUGAUCCGCGCCGAAUUAGCUAGUUGGUAAGGUAACGGCUUAACAAGGCAACGAUGCGUAGCCGACAUGAGAGGGUGAACGGCCACACGGGAAGUGAGACACGGUCCAGACUACUAAGGGAGGCAGCAGUAGGGAAUCUUACGCAAGGGGCGAAAGCGGGACGGAGCAAAGGCGCGUGAGUGAGGAAGGGCUUCGGAUCGUAAAAGACUGUUAUUAGGGAAGAACAAAUGUGUAAGGAACUAUGCAAGGAUUGACGGUACCGAACCAGAAAGCCACGGCUAACUACGUG